GGAGAGGUAGCUCAGCAGGUAGAGCAACGAAAAAAAUGGAGUCUUGUAGGAGACUCUUACAGCAAUGAUUUUAAGCUUGGUAAGCCGUUUGUCGUAGGUUCAAAUCCUACCCUCUCCU
RNAcentral lists this transfer RNA (118 nucleotides) under Eubacterium ramulus. RNAcentral's name for it is "tRNA-Thr". It matches the Rfam family "tRNA". Rfam says of the family: Transfer RNA (tRNA) molecules are approximately 80 nucleotides in length. RNAcentral also lists the same sequence under 1 other name. Lineage: Bacteria; Bacillati; Bacillota; Clostridia; Eubacteriales; Eubacteriaceae. The record is from RNAcentral.